GAAAUUAAUCUCCCCGUGAAGAAGCGGGGAUACUCAUAUAAGACGAGAAGACCCCAUGGAGCUUCAAACCCAACUACACCCCUAGCUCUUAUAGCCCCACAACCCCCCUAGGCACCGUGUGCUUGGUUUUAGGUUGGGGCGACCGCGGAGUACAAUAAAACCUCCACAAUGAAUGGGAACACCCCCUUAUCUGAGGGCCACACCCCCUAAGAAUUAGAACACUAACAUAAAAUGAUCCAUUACUUGAUCAAUGAACCAAGUUACCCUGGGGAUAACAGCGCAAUCCAUUUCAAGAGCCCCUAUCGACAAAUGGGUUUACGACCUCGAUGUUGGAUCAGGGUACCCCAGUGGUGCAGCAGCUACUAACGGUUCGUUUGUUCAACGAUUAAAACCCU
Molecule: ribosomal RNA, 395 nt
Filed under: Mantidactylus melanopleura
Lineage: Eukaryota; Metazoa; Chordata; Amphibia; Anura; Mantellidae
Description: partial 16S ribosomal RNA
Rfam family: Bacterial large subunit ribosomal RNA
Source: RNAcentral